RNAcentral lists this ribosomal RNA (305 nucleotides) under uncultured bacterium. RNAcentral's name for it is "bacterial SSU rRNA". It matches the Rfam family "Bacterial small subunit ribosomal RNA", at positions 337 to 659 of the family's 1533-position model. The record is from RNAcentral.
GCCUACGGGGGGCAGCAGUGGGGAAUAUUGCACAAUGGGGGAAACCCUGAUGCAGCGACGCCGCGUGAAGGAAGAAGUAUUUCGGUAUGUAAACUUCUAUCAGCAGGGAAGAAAAUGACGGUACCUGACUAAGAAGCCCCGGCUAACUACGUGCCAGCAGCCGCGGUAAUACGUAGGGGGCAAGCGUUAUCCGGAUUUACUGGGUGUAAAGGGAGCGUAGACGGCCAGACAAGUCAGAAGUGAAAGCCCAGGGCUCAACCCUGGGACUGCUUUUGAAACUGUUAAGCUGGAGUGCAGGAGAGGUA